ACUGUCCAACAGCUGCCAAGCUUUAUGGAUUCAAUGGGCACAGAAAUCACCAGCAUCUAUCGGCAUUUUUUUUUGAUUGAAAGGGAGGGUUAGCCACCCGUUUUAUUACUAAGAGAUAUUUACAUAUCUACGUCUAUAUAUAUAUACAAUGGAUUAAAAGUAGUAAAACCGCUUGGUCACUGUUUUUUCUAGAGGGGGAAA
RNAcentral lists this long non-coding RNA (201 nucleotides) under Elaeis guineensis (African oil palm). RNAcentral's name for it is "long non-coding RNA (EGUI_LNC042021)". Lineage: Eukaryota; Viridiplantae; Streptophyta; Magnoliopsida; Arecales; Arecaceae. The record is from RNAcentral.